This 493-nucleotide ribosomal RNA is filed under the name Aquitalea sp. RNAcentral describes it as "bacterial SSU rRNA". It matches the Rfam family "Bacterial small subunit ribosomal RNA", at positions 842 to 1340 of the family's 1533-position model. The record is from RNAcentral. Lineage: Bacteria; Pseudomonadati; Pseudomonadota; Betaproteobacteria; Neisseriales; Chromobacteriaceae.
GGUAGCGUAGCUAACGCGUGAAAUUGACCGCCUGGGGAGUACGGCCGCAAGGUUAAAACUCAAAGGAAUUGACGGGGACCCGCACAACGGAUGAUGUGGAUUAAUUCGAUGCAACGCGAAAAACCUUACCUGGUCUUGACAUGUACGGAACUUGCCAGAGAUGGCUUGGUGCCCGAAAGGGAGCCGUAACACAGGUGCUGCAUGGCUGUCGUCAGCUCGUGUCGUGAGAUGUUGGGUUAAGUCCCGCAACGAGCGCAACCCUUGCCAUUAGUUGCCAUCAUUAAGUUGGGCACUCUAAUGGGACUGCCGGUGACAAACCGGAGGAAGGUGGGGAUGACGUCAAGUCCUCAUGGCCCUUAUGACCAGGGCUUCACACGUCAUACAAUGGUCGGUACAGAGGGGCGAAGCCGCGAGGUGGAGCCAAUCUCAUAAAACCGAUCGUAGUCCGGAUCGCACUCUGCAACUCGAGUGCGUGAAGUCUGGAUCGCUAGUA